Molecule: long non-coding RNA, 439 nt
Filed under: Erythranthe guttata (spotted monkey flower)
Lineage: Eukaryota; Viridiplantae; Streptophyta; Magnoliopsida; Lamiales; Phrymaceae
Description: long non-coding RNA (EGUT_LNC002814)
Source: RNAcentral
CUGCUCAAGAUGGAGCCUCUCUUGAGUUAUCAGAUUUCUUUACAGAUCUUGAUCCUCUUGUGUAAAUUGCCAAAUGAGCAUCUCUUUUGGUUAUUUUGUACUCACUAUGUACACUUUGUAUAUAUCUCUCUCGGAUGAUGUAGUACCCGAGAUUGAGCUAGUUUGUCUUUUGAUGUAUCCAUGUACAUAUCUCCCUUGGAAGUUAUGUUCCCGAGGUCGAGCUGAUAUUUUGACUAUGUAUAAAAUUAUGAGUUUGUUAUUAUAUCAUUUGCAAACUAUACUACGGUUCAAUAUUAAUUUUAUGUUAUUUAAUUCAGGCAAACAUGGAGAACAUCGACAAAAGAGAAAAUUGCCUACUCGAUAGUGCAACUACACACUCAAUAUUCAAUAACAAAAUAUAUUUCUCGAGUGUGACUUUGUGCAAGGCACAAGUUAAAAC